RNAcentral lists this ribosomal RNA (303 nucleotides) under uncultured bacterium. RNAcentral's name for it is "partial 16S ribosomal RNA". It matches the Rfam family "Bacterial small subunit ribosomal RNA", at positions 507 to 807 of the family's 1533-position model. The record is from RNAcentral.
AGCAGCAGCCACGGUAAUGCGUAGGUGGCAAGCGUUGUCCGGAAUUACUGGGCGUAAAGCGCGCGCAGGUGGUUUAAUAAGUCUGAUGUGAAAGCCCACGGCUCAACCGUGGAGGGUCAUUGGAAACUGUUAAACUUGAGUGCAGGAGAGAAAAGUGGAAUUCCUAGUGUAGCGGUGAAAUGCGUAGAGAUUAGGAGGAACACCAGUGGCGAAGGCGGCUUUUUGGCCUGUAACUGACACUGAGGCGCGAAAGCGUGGGGAGCAAACAGGAUUAGAUACCCCUGUAGUCCCUGUCUCUUAUAC